Molecule: long non-coding RNA, 915 nt
Filed under: Chlamydomonas reinhardtii
Lineage: Eukaryota; Viridiplantae; Chlorophyta; Chlorophyceae; Chlamydomonadales; Chlamydomonadaceae
Description: long non-coding RNA (CREI_LNC001068)
Source: RNAcentral
UUAUGGGCUACCCUACGUCUCUCCUUCCCUCAAAAGCACUGCAUCCAGCAGCAUUCACUCUGCAGAUGCCCCACGCAUGCACUGAUACCGAAGAUGCUUGACAUGCACUACCUCUAGUGCUGAAGAUGCGCACCGUAAUCUGAUAUCGACAGCCAAAGCCACGCUCAUUCCUGCAAUAUGCAGUGAUUGUAUUCACAUGCAAUUCUGCAUGCAUUGCCGCAACCUCCCGCCCACGCCACGCCACGCCACGUCACCCCUGGUCCCACCCGCACCUGGUCCACCGCCCCACGCAUGAUGAGGUACAGCAGGUAGCCGGCGUCGCUGCGCCGAACCUGUAAGAUAAAAGAAGGGGAUAGUAGCCGCCCAUCAAAGACGGAGUGAAUGGGGUGGGCAUGGGCGAUAGGAACACACGGACAUUUGCCACCCGCGAUAGGAACACACGGACAUUCGCCACCCAACACGUCAUGCUGCGUUAUCAACACCCUUGGGCUUCCUAUGAACAUUCGAUAUCUCACAUGCGCCUUGCUGGUGAGCAAAUGCGACGAGCCGCCGACGUUGCUGCCCGUGUGCUGCAGCGCCGGCGCGCCAGCGGAGCCCCCACGGCGUGGCGACGCCGGGCUUCAGGCGUCCCAGACUCCCCUGUGACUCCUCCCGCCAACACCCCGCCGCUGCCCGUGGCGUGUCGACGCUCGGGGAUAUUGCGCUGCAAAGGAAAGCCACGGCUUAUGUCAUUUAUGCAACAGGCGCAAUCAACUGGGCUUGUUUGGCUGUUUGCGACUGGGGAAUGUACUGUCGGCCUGCAACGCCGCACGAACGGCUCUCGCCUCGUUUAUUGAUUAUAAAAUUAGUAAACAGGAUGUUGUGACCCAGUCGACGCGUGAAACCUCACGCAUGGCGAAACGGGGAGUGCAUUCU